This is a long non-coding RNA of Apodemus sylvaticus (European woodmouse), 644 nucleotides long. RefSeq lists it as uncharacterized. The record is from RefSeq and is a predicted model, not a curated record. NCBI's taxonomy places the organism in Eukaryota, Metazoa, Chordata, Mammalia, Rodentia, Muridae. The transcript is spliced from 5 exons.
CUGGCUCGCGGGUGCAGGAAAUAAGAAGAGAUGCCUCCUCACUGGCUCACGGGUACAGGAAAUAAGAAGAGAUGCCUCCUCACUGGCUCGCGGGUGCAGGAAAUAAGAAGAGAUGCCUCCUCACUGACUCGCGGGUGCAGGAAAUAAGAAGAGAUGCCUCCUCACUGGCUUAUGGGUGCAGGAAAUAAGAAGAGAUGCCUCCUCACUGGCUCACAGGUACAGGAAAUAAGAAGAGAUGCCUCCUCACUGGCUCACAGGUACAGGAAAUAAGAAGAGAUGCCUCCUCACUGGCUCACAGGUGCAGGAAAUAAGAAGAGAUGCCUCCUCACUGGCUCACAGGUGCAGGAAAUAAGAAGAGAUGCCUCACUGGCUCACAGGUGCAGGAAAUAAGAAGAGAUGCCUCCUCACUGGCUCACAGGUGCAGGAAAUAAGAAGAGAUGCCUCCUCACUGGCUCACAGGUGCAGGAAAUAAGAAGAGAUGCCUCCUCACUGGCUCACAGGUGCAGGAAAUAAGAAGAGAUGCCUCACUGGCUCACAGGUGCAGGAAAUAAGAAGAGAUGCCUCCUCACUGGCUCACAGGUGCAGGAAAUAAGAAGAGAUGCCUCCUCACUGGCUCACAGGUGCAGGAAAUAAGAAGAGAUGCC